GACGAACGCUGGCGGCGUGCUUAACACAUGCAAGUCGAACGGAAAGGCCCUGCUUUUGUGGGGUGCUCGAGUGGCGAACGGGUGAGUAACACGUGUGUAACCUGCCCUUGACUUUGGGAUAACUUCAGGAAACUGGGGCUCAUACCGGAUAGGAGCUCCUGCUGCACGGUGGGGGUUGGAAAGUUUCGGCGGUUGGGGAUGGACUCGCGGCUUAUCAGCUUGUUGGUGGGGUAGUGGAUUACCAAGGCUUUGACGGGUAGCCGGCCUUAGAGGGUGACCGGCCACAUUGGGACUGAGAUACGGCCCAGACUGCAACGGGAGGCAGCAGGGGGGAAUAUUGCACAAUGGGCGGAAGCCUGAUGCAGCGACGCCGCGUGCGGGAUGACGGCCUUCGGGUUGUAAACCGCUUUCGCCUGUGACGAAGCGUGAGUGACGGUAAUGGGUAAAGAAGCACCGGCUAACUACGUG
This 468-nucleotide ribosomal RNA is filed under the name uncultured bacterium. Its description in RNAcentral is "partial 16S ribosomal RNA". It matches the Rfam family "Bacterial small subunit ribosomal RNA", at positions 28 to 507 of the family's 1533-position model. The record is from RNAcentral.